Molecule: long non-coding RNA, 636 nt
Organism: Triticum aestivum (bread wheat)
Lineage: Eukaryota; Viridiplantae; Streptophyta; Magnoliopsida; Poales; Poaceae
Exons: 5
Source: RefSeq, a predicted model, not a curated record
GGACAAUCCUAAGCUAUUUGUAGAAUGGUCAGAAUCACUUGUAAUUGAUAUUCUUGAUUGCAUAGCAAACUCACCAUUGAUUGCAAAAUCUAUUGCUACACCAAAAUUUUCUCCAAGCGAAUUUCAAUCUCUGAGCAACUUCUCUUUUGCCGUCUUCCCAAGUUCAGUCCCCAAUCCCCAAUUUGCACGAAGCUUCUAAUUUUGCUGCUGGUGUUAUUUCGGAUGGGGAUUUUGUCAAUCCAGUAGUAUUAUCUAGCUCAUCUCCAGCUCCUAAGGUGUGUGUUGAGAGUGUGGUGAAUGAAGCUAAUGCUGAAGGUGCAAUUCCAGUAGCUCCUCUAUCUUGCGCAUAAAGUGCUUCUGAUGCUAUAGGUGUAUCCCCUUCAACAAUGCAGUGUCCACUUCCUGCUGUUGGUUCUUCGUUGAUGCAGUCAGUCGGUCUUGAUAAGAAGUGUGAGCCCAAGGUUGUUGUCAAUGAUUUCCCAAAACCAACUUCUGCUGAAUUCAGUCGCUCUCUUGGUGUCCAAUCGCAUCCUGAAGAUUCCAUUGAACAGCUGAAAGUUAAAGAGGGUAUCUCUUCUGUUGGUGGACUGUCACCUCUGGUUCCGACUCGUUUGACGCAGUGGUUCUGUAACGUGG